RNAcentral lists this ribosomal RNA (447 nucleotides) under uncultured bacterium. RNAcentral's name for it is "bacterial SSU rRNA". It matches the Rfam family "Bacterial small subunit ribosomal RNA", at positions 330 to 792 of the family's 1533-position model. The record is from RNAcentral.
CCCAGACUCCUACGGGAGGCAGCAGUGGGGGAUAUUGCACAAUGGGGGAAACCCUGAUGCAGCGACGCCGCGUGGGCGAAGAAGUAUUUCGGUAUGUAAAGCCCUAUCAGCAGGGAAGAAGAAAUGACGGUACCUGAGUAAGAAGCACCGGCUAAAUACGUGCCAGCAGCCGCGGUAAUACGUAUGGUGCAAGCGUUAUCCGGAUUUACUGGGUGUAAAGGGGGCGCAGACGGCGAUGCAAGCCAGGAGUGAAAGCCCGGGGCCCAACCCCGGGACUGCUCUUGGAACUGCGUGGCUGGAGUGCAGGAGGGGCAGGCGGAAUUCCUGGUGUAGCGGUGAAAUGCGUAGAUAUCAGGAGGAACACCGGUGGCGAAGGCGGCCUGCUGGACUGCAACUGACGUUGAGGCCCGAAAGCGUGGGGAGCAAACAGGAUUAGAUACCCCAGUA